AAUUAAUGGGGCGUAAAGCGUGGGCAGGGGGGUUUUGUAAGACAGAGCGUGAAUCCCCGGGCUCAACCUGGGAAUUGCGCUUGUGACUGCAAGGCUAGAGUAUGUCAGAGGGGGGUAGAAUUCCACGUGUAGCAGUGAAAUGCGUAGAGAUGUGGAGGAAUACCGAUGGCGAAGGCAGCCCCCUGGGACGUCACUGACGCUCAUGCACGAAAGCGUGGGGAGCAAACAGGAUUAGAUACCCUGGUAGUCCACGCCCUAAACGAUGUCAACUAGUUGUUGGGGAUUCAUUUCUUCAGUAACGAAGCUAACGCGUGAAGUUGACCGCCUGGGGAGUACGGUCGCAAGAUUAAAACUCAAAGGAAUUGACGGGGACCCGCACAAGCGGUGGAUGAUGUGGAUUAAUUCGAUGCAACGCGAAAAACCUUACCUACCCUUGACAUGCCACUAACGAAGCAGAGAUGCAUCAGGUGCCCGAAAGGGAAAGUGGACACAGGUGCUGCAUGGCUGUCGUCAGCUCGUGUCGGUGAGAUGUUGGGUUAAGUCCCGCAACGAGCGCAACCCUUGUCUUUAGUUGCUACAAAAGGGCACUCUAGAGAGACUGCCGGUGACAAACCGGAGGAAGGUGGGGGAUGACGUCAAGUCCUCAUGGCCCUUAUGGGUAGGGCUUCACACGUCAUACAAUGGGCGUACGGAGGGUUGCGAACCCGCGAGGGGGAAGCUAAAUCCCAGAAAACGCAUCGGAGUCGGGAUCGUAGUCUGGAAACUCGACUACGGGAGCUGGAAUC
Molecule: ribosomal RNA, 785 nt
Filed under: Cupriavidus sp.
Lineage: Bacteria; Pseudomonadati; Pseudomonadota; Betaproteobacteria; Burkholderiales; Burkholderiaceae
Description: bacterial SSU rRNA
Rfam family: Bacterial small subunit ribosomal RNA
Source: RNAcentral